AACGAACGCUGGCGGCAGGCCUAACACAUGCAAGUCGAACGCCCCGCAAGUGGAGUGGCAGACGGGUGAGUAACACGUGGGAACCUUCCCUAUAGUACGGAAUAGCCCAGGGAAACUUGGAGUAAUACCGUAUACGCCCGAAAGUGGAAAGAAUUUCGCCAUAGGAUGGGCCCGCGUAGGAUUAGCUAGUUGGUGAGGUAAUGUCUCACCAAGGCGACGAUCCUUAGCUGGUUUGAGAGAACGACCAGCCACACUGAGACUGAGACACGGCCCAGACUCCUACGCGAGGCAGCAGUGGGGAAUAUUGGACAAUGGGCGCAAGCCUGAUCCAGCCAGGCCGCGUGAGUGAUGAAGGCCUUAGGGUUGUAAAGCUCUUUUGGCGGGGACGAUAAUGACGGUACCCGCAGAAUAAGUCCCGGCUAACUUCGUG
RNAcentral lists this ribosomal RNA (430 nucleotides) under uncultured bacterium. Its description in RNAcentral is "partial 16S ribosomal RNA". It matches the Rfam family "Bacterial small subunit ribosomal RNA", at positions 29 to 507 of the family's 1533-position model. The record is from RNAcentral.